GUGCCAGCCGCCGCGGUAAUACGGAGGGUGCAAGCGUUACUCGGAAUCACUGGGCGUAAAGGGCGCGUAGGCGGCUUGGUAAGUUGGAUGUGAAAGCCCACGGCUCAACCGUGGAACUGCGUCCAAAACUGCCAGGCUAGAGUCCGGGAGAGGCAGAUGGAAUUGGUGGUGUAGGGGUAAAAUCCGUAGAGAUCACCAGGAAUACCCAUUGCGAAGGCGAUCUGCUGGAACGGUACUGACGCUGAGGCGCGAAAGCGUGGGGAGCAAACAGGAUUAGAUACCCUGGUAGUCCACGCCCUAAACGAUGGAUGCUAGUCGUUGGGAAGCUAGUCUUCCCAGUGAUGCAGCUAACGCAUUAAGCAUCCCGCCUGGGGAGUACGGCCGCAAGGCUAAAACUCAAAGGAAUAGACGGGGACCCGCACAAGCGGUGGAGCAUGUGGUUUAAUUCGAAGAUACGCGAAGAACCUUACCUGGGCUUGACAUCCCUGGAAUCUCCCAGAGAUGGGGGAGUGCCUCCUUAUGGAGGAGCCAGGUGACAGGUGCUGCACGGCUGUCGUCAGCUCGUGUCGUGAGAUGUUGGGUUAAGUCCCGCAACGAGCGCAGCCCUCGUCCUUAGUUGCCAGCACUUAGGGUGGGCACUCUAAGGAGACUGCCCGGGUAACCGGGAGGAAGGUGAGGAUGACGUCAAGUCAUCAUGGCCCUUAUGCCCAGGGCGACACACGUGCUACAAUGGCGCGUACAGAGAGAGGCGAUACCGCGAGGUGGAGCAAAUCUCUAAAGCGCGUCCCAGUUCGGAUUGCAGUCUGCAACUCGACUGCAUGAAGUCGGAAUCGCUAGUAAUCGCGGAUCAGCCAUGCCGCGGUGAAUACGUUCCCGGGUCUUGUACUCACCGCCCGUCACACCAUGGGAGUUGAGCUCACCCGAAGCCGGGGGACCGACCCAUUAGGGAGGACCCUCGUCGACGGUGGGCUCAGCGACUGGGGUGAAGUCGUAACAAGGUAGCC
Molecule: ribosomal RNA, 1004 nt
Filed under: uncultured Campylobacterota bacterium
Lineage: Bacteria; Pseudomonadati; Campylobacterota
Description: bacterial SSU rRNA
Rfam family: Bacterial small subunit ribosomal RNA
Source: RNAcentral